Molecule: ribosomal RNA, 350 nt
Filed under: Plagioscion squamosissimus (South American silver croaker)
Lineage: Eukaryota; Metazoa; Chordata; Actinopteri; Sciaenidae
Description: partial 12S ribosomal RNA
Rfam family: Bacterial small subunit ribosomal RNA
Source: RNAcentral
UUGACAUCAAUAUACACCUGUUGCCCGCCCGGGAACUACGAGCAUUAGCUUGAAACCCAAAGGACUUGGCGGUGCUUUAGAUCCACCUAGAGGAGCCUGUUCUAGAACCGAUAACCCCCGUUCAACCUCACCCUUCUUUGUUCAACCCGCCUAUAUACCGCCGUCGUCAGCUUACCCUGUGAAGGAUAUAUAGUAAGCAAAAUUGGUACAACCCUAAACGCCAGGUCGAGGUGUAGCGUAUGGAAGGGGAAGAAAUGGGCUACAUUCUCUGAUACAGAGAAAACGAAUGAUAUUCUGAAACGAAUGUCUAAAGGAGGAUUUAGCAGUAAGCAGGAAAUAGAGCGUCCCGC